Molecule: ribosomal RNA, 465 nt
Filed under: uncultured bacterium
Lineage: Bacteria
Description: partial 16S ribosomal RNA
Rfam family: Bacterial small subunit ribosomal RNA
Source: RNAcentral
CCUACGGGUGGCAGCAGUGGGGAAUAUUGCGCAAUGGGCGAAAGCCUGACGCAGCGACGCCGCGUGAGGGAUGAAGGUCUUCGGAUCGUAAACCUCUGUCAGCAGGGAAGAACGGUCACUGUGCUAAUCAGCAGUGAAUUGACGGUACCUGCAAAGUAAGCACCGGCUAACUCCGUGCCAGCCGCCGCGGUAAUACGGAGGGUGCGAGCGUUAAUCGGAAUUACUGGGCGUAAAGCGCUCGUAGGCGGGAUGUCAAGUCAAGGGUGAAAUCCCCGCGCUCAACGUGGGAACUGCCUUUGAAACUGGCAAACUGGAGUGUGGGAGAGGAUAGUGGAAUUCCAGGUGUAGGAGUGAAAUCCGUAGAUAUCUGGAGGAACAUCAGUGGCGAAGGCGACUAUCUGGCACAUAACUGACGCUGAGGAGCGAAAGCGUGGGUAGCAAACAGGAUUAGAUACCCUUGUAGUC